AUCCACCAGCUAAGUAAAUACAAGACAUUCUAUUGUAUAUAACCGAAUCCCAUAAAGGAUGAUAGGUAAUAAACAAAAAGCAAAAGAGAUCUUCGAAAAUUUCAAGAGUACCACAAUCAUUAUCGACAUAGGUAGUGUAACAAAUUCCAGUAUCAACAGAGCCCUCCUUUGCAUGAACAUCAACUAGGAGCUCAAUUCCAUAAACUCUAACCCUUUGAUCAAGAACCCUAAUCGAUCACUCAAAGUUUUCAACAAUAUUAGAAAUGACCAUCCCAUUUCCUGUUCCUUUAUCGCUGUGAAGGGUAUAUUCGUAUUCAGCAGGCUCACAAAAAUCUUCUCAACUUUCUAGUGAUUUUGAAAGCAAUGUCUCCUCGUCUCAGGGUUGACCAGUCCAUUGACUUAGUCUAGCCCAUUCUCCACCACCUUCGACUCGUCAAUUCCAACUCCAUUCCAACUCCAAACCAUCGCCAAAGGUCAAAGAAAAAUAGAAAAACAUAUUAAGAGAAGGAAAGUAGAGAUUGUAUGUGUGUGUGUGUGAGAGAGAGAGAGAGAGCAUUGGGGAAAGACAUUUAGGACAAAAAAUGGCGUCGUU
RNAcentral lists this long non-coding RNA (592 nucleotides) under Olea europaea subsp. europaea. Lineage: Eukaryota; Viridiplantae; Streptophyta; Magnoliopsida; Lamiales; Oleaceae. The record is from RNAcentral.